This 256-nucleotide ribosomal RNA is filed under the name uncultured archaeon. RNAcentral describes it as "partial 16S ribosomal RNA". It matches the Rfam family "Bacterial small subunit ribosomal RNA", at positions 521 to 776 of the family's 1533-position model. The record is from RNAcentral.
UAAUACGGAGGAUCCAAGCGUUAUCCGGAUUUAUUGGGUUUAAAGGGUGCGUAGGCGGCCUUGUAAGUCAGGGGUGAAAGACGGCAGCUCAACUGUCGCAGUGCCUUUGAUACUGCAAGGCUUGAAUACACUUGAAGUAGGCGGAAUGUGACAAGUAGCGGUGAAAUGCAUAGAUAUGUCACAGAACACCGAUUGCGAAGGCAGCUUACUAAAGUGUGAUUGACGCUGAGGCACGAAAGCGUGGGGAUCAAACAGG